UAUACAAACACACACUGCAUUAUAUACACACACUAUACAAACAGUGUAUAUAAUGCAGUGUGUGUUUGUGUA
Pelobates cultripes (western spadefoot toad) is the source of this 72-nucleotide non-coding RNA. The record is from the annotation of a GenBank genome assembly. NCBI's taxonomy places the organism in Eukaryota, Metazoa, Chordata, Amphibia, Anura, Pelobatidae.